UACGGGAGGCAGCAGUGGGGAAUAUUGCACAAUGGGCGAAAGCCUGAUGCAGCUAUGCCGCGUGUAUGAAGAAGGCCUUAGGGUUGUAAAGUACUUUCAUCGGGGAGGAAAAAACAAAACUAAUAAUUUUAUUUCUUGACGUUACCCGAAAAAGAAGCACCGGCUAACUCCGUGCCAGCAGCCGCGGUAAUACGGAGGGUGCUAGCGUUAAUCAGAAUUACUGGGCGUAAAGAGCACGUAGGUGGUUUUUUUAAGUCAGAUGUGAAAUCCCUGGGCUUAACCUGGAAACUGCAUUUUGAAACUGAAAUACUAGAGUAUCGUAGAGGGAGGUAGAAUUCUAGGUGUAGCGGUGAAAUGCGUAGAUAUCUGGAGGAAUACCUGUGGCGAAAGCGGCCUCCUAAACGAAUACUGACACUGAGGUGCGAAAGCGUGGGGAGCAAACAGGGAUUAGAUACC
Molecule: ribosomal RNA, 456 nt
Filed under: uncultured bacterium
Lineage: Bacteria
Description: bacterial SSU rRNA
Rfam family: Bacterial small subunit ribosomal RNA
Source: RNAcentral